CAGCAGCCACGGUAAUACGUAGGCGGCAAGCGUUGUCCGGAAUUAUUGGGCGUAAAGGGCUCGCAGGCGGUUUCUUAAGUCUGAUGUGAAAGCCCCCGGCUCAACCGGGGAGGGUCAUUGGAAACUGGGAAACUUGAGUGCAGAAGAGGAGAGUGGAAUUCCACGUGUAGCGGUGAAAUGCGUAGAGAUGUGGAGGAACACCAGUGGCGAAGGCGACUCUCUGGUCUGUAACUGACGCUGAGGAGCGAAAGCGUGGGGAGCGAACAGGAUUAGAUACCCGCGUAGUCCCUGUCUCUUAUAA
This 301-nucleotide ribosomal RNA is filed under the name uncultured bacterium. RNAcentral's name for it is "partial 16S ribosomal RNA". It matches the Rfam family "Bacterial small subunit ribosomal RNA", at positions 509 to 809 of the family's 1533-position model. The record is from RNAcentral.